GACGGAAAUGAUGAUCGAUGAUUGUUUUCCCUAUUGGUUUGAUUGCCGGUAUGAUGGUUCCCAUUGCAUGAACUCCAUCUGAUCUCUC
Molecule: non-coding RNA, 88 nt
Organism: Musa acuminata subsp. malaccensis (wild Malaysian banana)
Lineage: Eukaryota; Viridiplantae; Streptophyta; Magnoliopsida; Zingiberales; Musaceae
Source: Rfam